GGGCGGCGGGUGCUAUACAUGCAAGUCGAACGCGUUGGCCCAAUUGAUUGAUGGUGCUUGCACCUGAUUGAUUUUGGUCGCCAACGAGUGGCGGACGGGUGAGUAACACGUAGGUAACCUGCCCAGAAGCGGGGGACAACAUUUGGAAACAGAUGCUAAUACCGCAUAACAACGUUGUUCGCAUGAACAACGCUUAAAAGAUGGCUUCUCGCUAUCACUUCUGGAUGGACCUGCGGUGCAUUAGCUUGUUGGUGGGGUAAUGGCCUACCAAGGCGAUGAUGCAUAGCCGAGUUGAGAGACUGAUCGGCCACAAUGGGACUGAGACACGGCCCAUACUCCUACGGGAGGCAGCAGUAGGGAAUCUUCCACAAUGGGCGCAAGCCUGAUGGAGCAACACCGCGUGAGUGAAGAAGGGUUUCGGCUCGUAAAGCUCUGUUGUUAAAGAAGAACACGUAUGAGAGUAACUGUUCAUACGUUGACGGUAUUUAACCAGAAAGUCACGGCUAACUACGUGCCAGCAGCCGCGGUAAUACGUAGGUGGCAAGCGUUAUCCGGAUUUAUUGGGCGUAAAGAGAGUGCAGGCGGUUUUCUAAGUCUGAUGUGAAAGCCUUCGGCUUAACCGGAGAAGUGCAUCGGAAACUGGAUAACUUGAGUGCAGAAGAGGGUAGUGGAACUCCAUGUGUAGCGGUGGAAUGCGUAGAUAUAUGGAAGAACACCAGUGGCGAAGGCGGCUACCUGGUCUGCAACUGACGCUGAGACUCGAAAGCAUGGGUAGCGAACAGGAUUAGAUACCCUGGUAGUCCAUGCCGUAAACGAUGAGUGCUAGGUGUUGGAGGGUUUCCGCCCUUCAGUGCCGGAGCUAACGCAUUAAGCACUCCGCCUGGGGAGUACGACCGCAAGGUUGAAACUCAAAGGAAUUGACGGGGGCCCGCACAAGCGGUGGAGCAUGUGGUUUAAUUCGAAGCUACGCGAAGAACCUUACCAGGUCUUGACAUCUUGCGCCAACCCUAGAGAUAGGGCGUUUCCUUCGGGAACGCAAUGACAGGUGGUGCAUGGUCGUCGUCAGCUCGUGUCGUGAGAUGUUGGGUUAAGUCCCGCAACGACAACCCUUGUUACUAGU
RNAcentral lists this ribosomal RNA (1120 nucleotides) under Limosilactobacillus fermentum. Its description in RNAcentral is "bacterial SSU rRNA". It matches the Rfam family "Bacterial small subunit ribosomal RNA", at positions 37 to 1115 of the family's 1533-position model. The record is from RNAcentral. Lineage: Bacteria; Bacillati; Bacillota; Bacilli; Lactobacillales; Lactobacillaceae.